Molecule: transfer RNA, 97 nt
Rfam family: tRNA
About the family: Transfer RNA (tRNA) molecules are approximately 80 nucleotides in length.
Source: Rfam
GCGUUGAUAGUACAAUGGCGAGUAUUUCUGCUUUCCACAGGUUGAUUAUGUAAUCAUUAGUCCGCAGAAGAUAGGGGUUCGAUUCCCCUUCAACGCA